UCCUCAUAGUUCAUUUGGUAAAGAAUCUGCCUGCAAUGCAGGAGACCUGGGUUCGAUUCCUGGGUCAGGAA
Molecule: non-coding RNA, 71 nt
Organism: Bos taurus (domestic cattle)
Lineage: Eukaryota; Metazoa; Chordata; Mammalia; Artiodactyla; Bovidae
Source: Rfam